RNAcentral lists this ribosomal RNA (452 nucleotides) under uncultured bacterium. RNAcentral's name for it is "bacterial SSU rRNA". It matches the Rfam family "Bacterial small subunit ribosomal RNA", at positions 28 to 507 of the family's 1533-position model. The record is from RNAcentral.
GAUGAACGCUGGCGGCGUGCCUAACACAUGCAAGUCGAGCGAUUCUCUUCGGAGAAGAGCGGCGGACGGGUGAGUAACGCGUGGGUAACCUGCCCUGUACACACGGAUAACAUACCGAAAGGUAUGCUAAUACGAGAUAAUAUGCUUUUAUCGCAUGGUAGAAGUAUCAAAGUUUUUGCGGUACAGGAUGGACCCGCGUCUGAUUAGCUAGUUGGUAAGGUAACGGCUUACCAAGGCGACGAUCAGUAGCCGACCUGAGAGGGUGAUCGGCCACAUUGGAACUGAGACACGGUCCAAACUCCUACGGGAGGCAGCAGUGGGGAAUAUUGCACAAUGGGCGAAAGCCUGAUGCAGCAACGCCGCGUGAGCGAUGAAGGCCUUCGGGUCGUAAAGCUCUGUCCUCAAGGAAGAUAAUGACGGUACUUGAGGAGGAAGCCCCGGCUAACUACGUG